This 112-nucleotide microRNA precursor is filed under the name Marmota monax (woodchuck). Lineage: Eukaryota; Metazoa; Chordata; Mammalia; Rodentia; Sciuridae. The record is from RNAcentral.
AGCGGGGACUUGUAGGUUCUCCGCAGCUCGGCCAGGAAGCCCUGAUAGUUGUUUCGCAAGGGGCUGUCUGGCUGCAUGUGGGGAAUGGCCCACUUCUCCGCCUCCCCUGUCA